UAAUACAGAGGGUGCGAGCGUUGUCCGGAAUCACUGGGCGUAAAGGGCGCGUAGGCGGCCUGGUUAGUAGGGGGUGAAAUCUUGCGGCUCAACUGCAAGGCUGCCUCCUAAACUGCUAGGCUGGAGCACGGUAGAGGCAGAUGGAAUUCCCGGUGUAGCGGUGGAAUGCGUAGAGAUCGGGAAGAACAUCGGUGGCGAAGGCGGUCUGCUGGGCCGUUGCUGACGCUGAGGCGCGACAGCGUGGGGAGCAAACAGGAUUAGAUACCCUGGUAGUCCACGCCGUAAACGAUGGGUACUAGGCGUCGGGGGGAGCGACCCCUUCGGUGCCGUCGCUAACGCAGUAAGUACCCCGCCUGGGGAGUACGGCCGCAAGGCUG
RNAcentral lists this ribosomal RNA (377 nucleotides) under uncultured bacterium. Its description in RNAcentral is "bacterial SSU rRNA". It matches the Rfam family "Bacterial small subunit ribosomal RNA", at positions 521 to 896 of the family's 1533-position model. The record is from RNAcentral.